Molecule: ribosomal RNA, 906 nt
Filed under: Taphrina nana
Lineage: Eukaryota; Fungi; Ascomycota; Taphrinomycetes; Taphrinales; Taphrinaceae
Description: LSU rRNA
Rfam family: Eukaryotic large subunit ribosomal RNA
Source: RNAcentral
AUAUCAAUAAGCGCAGGAAAAGAAACUAACUAGGAUGCCUUCAGUAACGGCGAAGCGAAGCAGGCAUMGCUCAAAUUUGUAAUCUGGCGCCUUUGGCGUCCGAGUUGUAUUUUCUAGAAGCGAGUUCGGCGACAGCUCCUACCCAAGUCCGUUGGAACGCGGCGUCAUGGAGGGUGAGAAUCCCGUGAAUGGUAGGAUGUCUGCUGCUAUGUGAACCGCCUUCGAAGAGUCGAGUUGUUUGGGAAUGCAGCUCUAAAUGGGAGGUAAAUUUCUUCUAAAGCUAAAUAUUGGCCAGAGACCGAUAGCGAACAAGUAGAGUGAUCGAAAGAUGAAAAGAACUUUGAAAAGAGAGUUAAACAGUACGUGAAAUUGUUGAAAGGGAAGCGCUUGAGAUCAGACUUCCUGUCUGGACUGUCCUUGCUUUUGCUUGGGUCAACAGUCCAGGCGUGGAGGCCAGCAUCAGUUUUGACGGCCGGAUAAAGGCCUUGGGAAGGUAGCUCCUCUCGGGGAGUGUUAUAGCCCAGGGUGUAAUACGGCCAGUUGGGACUGAGGACCGCGGCUCUGCCUAGGAUGCUGGCGUAAUGGUCUUAAGCGACCCGUCUUGAAACACGGACCAAGGAGUCUAACAUCUGUGCGAGUGUUUGGGUGGAAAACCCGUGCGCGAAAUGAAAGUGAAUGGAGGUGGGAUCCGCAAGGUGCACCAUCGACCGAUCCGGAUUUUUUUGAAGGAUUUGAGUAAGAGCAUAGCUGUUGGGACCCGAAAGAUGGUGAACUAUGCCUGAAUAGGGCGAAGCCAGAGGAAACUCUGGUGGAGGCUCGUAGCGGUUUCUGACGUGCAAAUCGAUUCGUCGAAUUUGGGUAAUAGGGGCGAAAGACUAAUCGAACCAUCUAGUAGCUGGUUCUGCA